RNAcentral lists this long non-coding RNA (1245 nucleotides) under Struthio camelus australis. RNAcentral's name for it is "lncRNA (ENSSCUG00000012236.1)". Lineage: Eukaryota; Metazoa; Chordata; Aves; Struthioniformes; Struthionidae. The record is from RNAcentral.
ACGGGGUUGGCGGGCGGCGACUUGGGAGCCGGCUAACCGCGUCACCCCGGCCAGCCCGGCUGUGGCCUGUGCGGACGCAGCUGCACGCUCUUCAAGUUAGGCAGCUCGCGCUCUGGUUGCAGCAGGAAACGCGGCGCAGGACAGGCGCACGAGGACCGUCCUGCGUCCUGAGCGUGCUGCCGCGUGGCACCGUUUGGGGAGUGGGGUAACAUCAAUCUGUCCGAGCUCACGAGAGAAAAGGAUGCUGUGGAACGGGUGGACGGUUUGGUAGGUCUGUUCGUGACAGUGAACGAUCCAGGAACAGACAAGCUUCCCAUUGCGGCAAGGAAGAACAGGCGGCUGUAUACUUUGAAGAUGUUAGGAGCAUAGACAGAAGCGUUAGUGGCGUCACGCUCGGACGUCUCGCGGUUUAGUUCAUUGACCUGUAUUGUACAUGGACAUAUUUUUUAAUGUAGGAUACUGUGACCACAAGAGACAGUAACUAAUAUCACAGCUGAGAAGGGCAAGGAAUACUGAAGAUAACGAAGAGAGUGUGGAACUCUUGUUUUUUCCAUUAAAUCUGCUUCCUGUCAGCCAUCAGACUUUUUCCCACUCUCAUUCAGAUUGCCAUCUGCUCCUUGGCCUCAAAUCCCAAGUGACCUUAACCGCUAAAGACUAGUAUUUCUAACCUCCAGUCCUUCAUUCUGUCUACGCACGCAGAUGCAUUUUGGUUAACAGACAGGCGGUGUAAGAGACCCCCUUGGUGGAUCCCCGUCUUUGGCAGAGAGGUGUGUUGGUGCAUGGAGGAAGCCUUUGCCAUCUUCACAAAACAGACCUACGUGCUGGUUCAUCUUCAUACCAGGAAAUGAUGACAGUCUUCAGGUCUAGACAAGCUGCUUAAUGGAACGGCAAGUCAUACCUACUAAGGUCUCACUGCAAGCAAGUGCAAUAUUCCAGAGAAGCAGCAAGGAUAUCCCAAAAACAUGUUUAAUCAUCUCUAAGACGCUGUACCCAGAACAAGCUCUGAUAGAACCCUCAAAGGGAGAAUAUUUUGGAAGAAAGGUAGCGUGAAGUGUCAGCCGAAGAAAGAAAUAUAUAAGCUGGUUGGUGGGGGAAAUGACUGCUCCAUCCUCCAUCCGAGGCUGCUCCUUCGGAUGGCUCAGUGAAGUUGCUAUCGUUCUUCCCAUUAAAACUUGCUGUUAGCCUGUCAUUGAGCCUGCUCUUUAUGGGGAGUCUGAUUUUGGUACUGGCGAUUUAACAAGGGCU